UGGGGAAUAUUGGUCAAUGGAGGAAACUCUGAACCAGCAACGCCGCGUGAAUGAUGAAGGUCUUCGGAUUGUAAAGUUCUUUUCUAAGGGACGAAGAAAGUGACGGUACCUUAGGAAUAAGCCUCGGCUAACUACGUGCCAGCAGCCGCGGUAAUACGUAGGAGGCGAGCGUUAUCCGGAAUGACUGGGCGUAAAGGGUGCGUAGGUGGUUCGGCAAGUUAGUAGCGUAACCCCGGGGCUCAACCUCGGAACUACUACUAAAACUGUCGGACUUGAGUGCAGGAGGGGCAAUUGGAAUUCCUAGUGUAGCGGUGGAAUGCGUAGAUAUUAGGAGGAACACCGGUGGCGAAGGCGAAUUGCUGGACUGUAACUGACACUGAGGCACGAAAGCGUGGGGAGC
Molecule: ribosomal RNA, 400 nt
Filed under: uncultured bacterium
Lineage: Bacteria
Description: bacterial SSU rRNA
Rfam family: Bacterial small subunit ribosomal RNA
Source: RNAcentral